This 449-nucleotide ribosomal RNA is filed under the name uncultured bacterium. Its description in RNAcentral is "partial 16S ribosomal RNA". It matches the Rfam family "Bacterial small subunit ribosomal RNA", at positions 29 to 523 of the family's 1533-position model. The record is from RNAcentral.
AGUGAACGCUGGCGGUAGGCCUAACACAUGCAAGUCGAACGGAUCCUUCGGGAUUAGUGGCGGACGGGUGAGUAACACGUGGGAACGUGCCCUUUGGUUCGGAACAACUCAGGGAAACUUGAGCUAAUACCGGAUGUGCCCUUCGGGGGAAAGAUUUAUCGCCAUUGGAGCGGCCCGCGUCUGAUUAGCUAGUUGGUGAGGUAAAGGCUCACCAAGGCUACGAUCAGUAGCUGGUCUGAGAGGAUGAUCAGCCACAUUGGGACUGAGACACGGCCCAAACUCCUACGGGAGGCAGCAGUGGGGAAUCUUGCGCAAUGGGCGAAAGCCUGACGCAGCCAUGCCGCGUGAAUGAUGAAGGUCUUAGGAUUGUAAAAUUCUUUCACCGGGGACGAUAAUGACGGUACCCGGAGAAGAAGCCCCGGCUAACUUCGUGCCAGCCGCCGCAGUAA